CGGUGAAGGUAGUUUUCCAUCGCAGCUCUGCCCUAAACUCGAGGCAGGUAUCUUCUUCCUUGUGUCGUCCUAGCUCUGCUCGAGAUAGAAUUUCAGAUUUGUUGAUGUUUAUGGAUAACACUUGAUGAAAUUUAGACUCCUUUUGAGGAAAACCACAUUAAGCACAAGGUUGUUGCAAGAUUGGGCAAACUACCCCAAACAUUGCAGAUUUUGAAGAUUGAAGUUACAAGUCAAGAUGCAAGUUUAGAAGAUGCACAAACUCAUUAUUAUUUUGCUAUGAAUGUUAUGGAAUACUUGAUAUUAUAGUCUAGCUAAGAUGUUAGCUAAG
Molecule: long non-coding RNA, 328 nt
Organism: Solanum tuberosum (potato)
Lineage: Eukaryota; Viridiplantae; Streptophyta; Magnoliopsida; Solanales; Solanaceae
Exons: 4
Source: RefSeq, a predicted model, not a curated record